This 79-nucleotide ribosomal RNA is filed under the name Staphylococcus epidermidis. RNAcentral describes it as "partial 16S ribosomal RNA". It matches the Rfam family "Bacterial small subunit ribosomal RNA", at positions 1 to 76 of the family's 1533-position model. The record is from RNAcentral. Lineage: Bacteria; Bacillati; Bacillota; Bacilli; Caryophanales; Staphylococcaceae.
AUUUUUAUGGAGAGUUUGAUCCUGGCUCAGGAUGAACGCUGGCGGCGUGCCUAAUACAUGCAAGUCGAGCGAACAGACG